UACGUAGGGGGCUAGCGUUGUCCGGAAUCAUUGGGCGUAAGAGCGUGUAGGCGGCCCGGUAAGUCCGCUGUAAAAGUCAAAGGCUCAACCUUUGAAUGUCAGUGGAUACUGCCGGGCUAGAGUCCGGAAGAGGCGAGUGGAACUCCUGGUGUAGCGGUGGAAUGCGCAGAUAUCAGGAAGAACACCAACGGCGAAGGCAGCUCGCUAGGACGGUACUGACGCUGAGACGCGAAAGCGUGGGGAGCGAACAGG
RNAcentral lists this ribosomal RNA (252 nucleotides) under uncultured bacterium. RNAcentral describes it as "partial 16S ribosomal RNA". It matches the Rfam family "Bacterial small subunit ribosomal RNA", at positions 524 to 776 of the family's 1533-position model. The record is from RNAcentral.